RNAcentral lists this ribosomal RNA (465 nucleotides) under uncultured bacterium. Its description in RNAcentral is "partial 16S ribosomal RNA". It matches the Rfam family "Bacterial small subunit ribosomal RNA", at positions 28 to 507 of the family's 1533-position model. The record is from RNAcentral.
GACGAACGCUGGCGGCGUGCUUAACACAUGCCAGUCGUACGGUAAGGCCCUUUCGGGGGUACACGAGUGGCGAACGGGUGAGUAACACGUGAGUAACCUGCCCACAACUUUGGGAUAACGCUAGGAAACUGGUGCUAAUACUGGAUAUGUGCUCCUGCUGCAUGGUGGGGGUUGGAAAGCUCCGGCGGUUGUGGAUGGACUCGCGGCCUAUCAGCUUGUUGGUGGGGUAGUGGCCUACCAAGGCGGCGACGGGUAGCCGGCCUGAGAGGGUGACCGGCCACAUUGGGACUGAGAUACGGCCCAGACUCCUACGGGAGGCAGCAGGGGGGAAGAUUGCACAAUGGGCGCAAGCCUGAUGCAGCAACGCCGCGUGCGGGAUGACGGCCUUCGGGCUGUAAACCGCUUUCAGCAGGGACGAAGCUUUUUGUGACGGUACCUGCAGAAGAAGCACCGGCUAACUACGUG